UACCAGCACCCCGAGUGGUCGGGACGAUUAUUGGGCCUAAAGCAUCCGUAGCCGGUCUUGCAAGUCUUCCGUUAAAUCCAGCUGCUUAACGGAUGGGCUGCGGAAGAUACUACAAGACUAGGAGGCGGGAGAGGCAAGCGGUACUCAGUGGGUAGGGGUAAAAUCCUCUGAUCCUUUGAAGACCACCAGUGGCGAAGGCGGCUUGCCAGAACGCGCUCGACGGUGAGGGAUGAAAGCUGGGGGAGCAAACCGG
This 253-nucleotide ribosomal RNA is filed under the name uncultured bacterium. RNAcentral describes it as "partial 16S ribosomal RNA". It matches the Rfam family "Archaeal small subunit ribosomal RNA", at positions 474 to 727 of the family's 1478-position model. The record is from RNAcentral.